ACUCGAGUGGCGAACGGGUGAGUAACACGUGGGUGAUCUGCCCUGCACUUCGGGAUAAGCCUGGGAAACUGGGUCUAAUACCGGAUAGGAGCCAUUUUUAGUGUGAUGGUUGGAAAGUUUUUCGGUGUAGGAUGAGCUCGCGGCCUAUCAGCUUGUUGGUGGGGUAAUGGCCUACCAAGGCGGCGACGGGUAGCCGGCCUGAGAGGGUGGACGGCCACAUUGGGACUGAGACACGGUCCAA
RNAcentral lists this ribosomal RNA (241 nucleotides) under uncultured Actinomycetales bacterium. RNAcentral describes it as "partial 16S ribosomal RNA". It matches the Rfam family "Bacterial small subunit ribosomal RNA", at positions 89 to 334 of the family's 1533-position model. The record is from RNAcentral. Lineage: Bacteria; Bacillati; Actinomycetota; Actinomycetes; Actinomycetales.